This is a non-coding RNA of Acanthosepion pharaonis, 86 nucleotides long. The record is from the annotation of a GenBank genome assembly. NCBI's taxonomy places the organism in Eukaryota, Metazoa, Mollusca, Cephalopoda, Sepiida, Sepiidae.
UUAACACCAGUUCCCGUACAAUCACCGAAAUUAAGCAACAUCGAGCCCGGUCAAUACCAAGAUGGGUGACCGUUUGGGAAUACCCA